CAACCUCUGGCGAGAUCCGUGAAUGUUG
Flavobacterium frigoris PS1 is the source of this 28-nucleotide non-coding RNA. The record is from Rfam. Lineage: Bacteria; Pseudomonadati; Bacteroidota; Flavobacteriia; Flavobacteriales; Flavobacteriaceae.